RNAcentral lists this ribosomal RNA (301 nucleotides) under uncultured bacterium. Its description in RNAcentral is "partial 16S ribosomal RNA". It matches the Rfam family "Bacterial small subunit ribosomal RNA", at positions 509 to 809 of the family's 1533-position model. The record is from RNAcentral.
CAGCCCCGCGGGAAUACGGAGGGUGCAAGCGUUAUCCGGAUUUAUUGGGUUUAAGGGUCCGUAGGCGGAUCUGUAAGUCAGUGGUGAAAUCUCACAGCUUAACUGUGAAACUGCCAUUGAUACUGCAGGUCUUGAGUAAAUUUGAAGUGGCUGGAAUAAGUAGUGUAGCGGUGAAAUGCAUAGAUAUUACUUAGAACACCAAUUGCGAAGGCAGGUCACUAAGAUUUAACUGACGCUGAUGGACGAAAGCGUGGGGAGCGAACAGGAUUAGAUACCCCAGUAGUCCCUGUCUCUUAUACAC